CCAAAUAGGCCAAUAGUUGAGUUUGAGAUUGCAGCCAAGGAGCAAAUGAAAAUAACUGAACUACGUCUUAACAAGCUCUUUUCAGCUACAACAAAUGCUAGUUUGGCUACCACUGAUCAGUCCACCAAUACAGAUGCGCUAUGAUGAAAGUAGAAGGUGAUUUUAACUUAAAAAGUUUCCUUCUUCCCAAACCCAAGUUCUUCAAUCUUUGUAAUAAUGCCAUGAUGUUGUGUUACUCCUCGAAUCAUAUUCAGAAAACGAUUGCUAAUAUGGAAAGGAAGAAAUUCUAUUUUUAAUAGGAGCAUUAUUUUGGAAAGGAAUCUAUUUUUAGGAGUUUUAUUUUGGAUGUGCCCUAUUUUAAAUAGGAAUAGAAGAAUGGUGAGGUAUUCUAUAAAUAGAGUAUUAUGUUGAGUUGUUGAAGGGUAGCACAAUCAAAAGUCAUGUAAAAUUUUAAGAGUUGAGAGAUGGUGUGAGUGGUUUUUGUGUUUGUGUGAGGGAGAGGGUUUUUACAGCUUUUAUAUUCCGUGCAAAAAAGUUGUAUUGUAGAUGAGAGGGUUUUGCAGCUUUUAGUCUGUGCAAAAAGUUGCGUCGCGGUACUGUGAAACCUCAAGUUUUAGGGCGUAAAACUUGGGAUGAUUAUUGUAAGCCCAUUAUUUUGAUAUAGUGGAGAUUCGGAGUUUGGCCUGUGAUUUUUCCCUUUAAGGGUUUUUCACAUUAAAUCUUGUAUUGUUUUAUCUCUCUUUAUUUUAUUGUGUGGUUAGCGUUGACUUAAUUUUCAACAAGUGGUAUCAAAGCCAGGUUGAUUGGAUUCAUGGUAGAAGGGGAAUUAGUUGUAUUGGUGUGACAAAUAAAGAGAUUGAUGAUUAAAGGAGUUGGUGUUCAUCAUGAUGUUGAUGAAUAAGAAAUUUUGCAGUUAUGGAGAAUCACUGUUGCAAUCGCUAGAUGAGGAUCAUGAAGAUUCUGAUAAAGACAAAGAUGAAGAUUAUUGUGGUAAUGUAGAUCAUGCAGAUGUUGCGGAUAUGAAAGGAAAGAUGCGGAUGUUGCAAAUGAUGCGGAUGAUGCCGAUCAUGAAGAUGAUACGGAUAGCGCGGGUGAUGCAGAUGAUGGUGGCGACUACAAAAACGGUGACAAUGAUGAAUUUGAAGUGUUUGCGGAUUCGAGUCGAGGGAGGAAUUGUUGGGAAACUUGUCGAAUCCUAUUCAGAUAUGAAGUUGAAGUAUUUGGGGAUCCGAGUCGAUGGAGGAAUUGUUGGGUUACUCCUCGAAUCAUAUUCAGAAAAGGAUUGCUAAUAUGGAAAGGAAGAAAUUCUAUUUUUAAUAGGAACAUUAUUUUGGAAAGGAUCUAUUUGUAGUAGCAGUUUUAUUUUGGAUGUGUCCUUUUUUGAAUAGAAAUAGAAGAAUUGUGAGGUACUCUAUAAAUAAAGUAUUAUGUUGAGUUGUUGAAGGGUAGCACAAUCAAAAGUCAUGUAGGAUCCUAAAAAUUGAGAGAAAGUGUGAGUGGUUUUUGUGUUUGUGUGUGGGAGAGGAUUUUUACAUCUUUUAUAUUCCGUGUAAAAAAGUUGUAUUGUGGGUGGGAGGGUUUUGCAGCUUUUAGUACGUGCUAAAAGUUGCAUCGCGGUAUUGUGGAACCUCAAGUUUUAGAGCGUAAAACUUGGGAUGAUUAUUGUAAGCCCAUUAUUUUGAUUUAGUGGAGAUUCGGAGUUUGGCC
This 1707-nucleotide long non-coding RNA is filed under the name Panax ginseng (ginseng). RNAcentral's name for it is "long non-coding RNA (PGIN_LNC012623)". The record is from RNAcentral. Lineage: Eukaryota; Viridiplantae; Streptophyta; Magnoliopsida; Apiales; Araliaceae.